CAGCCGCCGCGUAAUACCGAGGGUGCGAGCGUUAAUCGGAUUUACUGGGCGUAAAGCGUGCGUAGGCGGCUUCUUAAGUCGGAUGUGAAAUCCCUGAGCUUAACUUAGGAAUUGCAUUCGAUACUGGGAAGCUAGAGUAUGGGAGAGGAUGGUAGAAUUCCAGGUGUAGCGGUGAAAUGCGUAGAGAUCUGGAGGAAUACCGAUGGCGAAGGCAGCCAUCUGGCCUAAUACUGACGCUGAGGUACGAAAGCAUGGGGAGCAAACAGGAUUAGAUACCCCCGUAGUCCCUGUCUCUUAUACA
This 301-nucleotide ribosomal RNA is filed under the name uncultured bacterium. RNAcentral describes it as "partial 16S ribosomal RNA". It matches the Rfam family "Bacterial small subunit ribosomal RNA", at positions 509 to 808 of the family's 1533-position model. The record is from RNAcentral.